AGUGAACGCUGGCGGUAGGCCUAACACAUGCAAGUAGAACGGCAGCACAGUAAGAGCUUGCUCUUACGGGUGGCGAGUGGCGGACGGGUGAGGAAUACAUCGGAAUCUACUUUUUCGUGGGGGAUAACGUAGGGAAACUUACGCUAAUACCGCAUGCGACCUACGGGUGAAAGCAGGGGAUCUUCGGACCUUGCGCGAUUGAAUGAGCCGAUGUCGGAUUAGCUAGUUGGCGGGGUAAAGGCCCACCAAGGCGACGAUCCGUAGCUGGUCUGAGAGGAUGAUCAGCCACACUGGAACUGAGACACGGUCCAGACUCCUACGGGAGGCAGCAGUGGGGAAUAUUGGACAAUGGGCGCAAGCCUGAUCCAGCCAUACCGCGUGGGUGAAGAAGGCCUUCGGGUUGUAAAGCCCUUUUGUUGGGAAAGAAAAGCAGCAGGUUAAUACCCCGCUGUUCUGACGGUACCCAAAGAAUAAGCACCGGCUAACUUCGUG
This 492-nucleotide ribosomal RNA is filed under the name uncultured bacterium. RNAcentral's name for it is "partial 16S ribosomal RNA". It matches the Rfam family "Bacterial small subunit ribosomal RNA", at positions 29 to 507 of the family's 1533-position model. The record is from RNAcentral.